This 494-nucleotide ribosomal RNA is filed under the name uncultured bacterium. RNAcentral describes it as "partial 16S ribosomal RNA". It matches the Rfam family "Bacterial small subunit ribosomal RNA", at positions 28 to 507 of the family's 1533-position model. The record is from RNAcentral.
GACGAACGCUGGCGGCGUGCUUAACACAUGCAAGUCGAACGGAAAGGCCUGCUUUCCCUUGUGGAUUGCGGGUACUCGAGUGGCGAACGGGUGAGUAACACGUGAGUGAUCUGCCCCCAACUUGGGUAUAAGCCUGGGAAACUGGGUCUAAUUCCCGAUAGGACUGCAGGGUGGUGCCUGUGGUGGAAAACGAUUUUCUAGUGGUUAGGGAUGAGCUCGCGGCCUAUCAGCUUGUUGGUGGGGUAAUGGCCUACCAAGGCGGCGACGGGUAGCCGGCCUGGGAGGGUGGACGGCCACAUUGGGACUGAGAUACGGCCCAGACUCCUACGGGAGGCAGCAGUGGGGAAUAUUGCACAAUGGGCGGAAGCCUGAUGCAGCGACGCCGCGUGGGGGAUGACGGCCUUCGGGUUGUAAACUCCUUUCGACCGCGAGGAAGCCACCUGGUUGGAAGGGUGGUGACGGUAGUGGUAGAAGAAGCACCGGCUAACUACGUG